ACUCGGGAGGCUGCAGUGGGGAAUAUUGGACAAUGGGCGAAAGCCUGAUCCAGCCAUGCCGCGUGUGUGAAGAAGGCCUUCGGGUUGUAAAGCACUUUCAGUGGGGAAGAAAGCCUUGGGGCUAAUACCCUCGAGGAAGGACAUCACCCACAGAAGAAGCACCGGCUAACUCCGUGCCAGCAGCCGCGGUAAUACGGAGGGUGCGAGCGUUAAUCGGAAUUACUGGGCGUAAAGCGCGCGUAGGCGGUCUGAUAAGCCGGUUGUGAAAGCCCCGGGCUCAACCUGGGAACGGCAUCCGGAACUGUCAGGCUAGAGUGCAGGAGAGGAAGGUAGAAUUCCCGGUGUAGCGGUGAAAUGCGUAGAGAUCGGGAGGAAUACCAGUGGCGAAGGCGGCCUUCUGGACUGACACUGACGCUGAGGUGCGAAAGCGUGGGUAGCAAACAGGAUUAGAUACCCCAGUAGUC
Molecule: ribosomal RNA, 464 nt
Filed under: Vreelandella stevensii
Lineage: Bacteria; Pseudomonadati; Pseudomonadota; Gammaproteobacteria; Oceanospirillales; Halomonadaceae
Description: partial 16S ribosomal RNA
Rfam family: Bacterial small subunit ribosomal RNA
Source: RNAcentral